RNAcentral lists this long non-coding RNA (2398 nucleotides) under Bemisia tabaci. RNAcentral describes it as "lncRNA ENSASIAIIG009866". The record is from RNAcentral. Lineage: Eukaryota; Metazoa; Arthropoda; Insecta; Hemiptera; Aleyrodidae.
UAUUGGACCUUGAUUUGUAUUUACAAUGAAGAAUUUCUUCUGAAUUUCUAAUGAAGCUUCGAGUGCUAUUCACUUUUGUAGGAUGCAUCUCCAACAGCCUGCUAUCAAUGUAAACACUAAGAAUGUUAUGCCAUGUGCGGCAGUUCAGUUUCCUUAAAAGAGGCAAAAUGGGUCAAGCGUUCCCAUAGACAAUUUUCGUAAAAUGCGCAGUUUCACAGUUUUUCCGUCCGAAUUUCCGUGCAAAUUCCUAUACUUUUGACAUAGAUUUCAAUUAUUUUUCGUAAUGCUUGCUCGUUACUGUAUGUGUGUGUUCCCUCUCCAUUCAACCACUCUCACAUAAACAAUUUAGAUUUUGUUAUGGAGUUUCUAACGAAGCCUCGAGAACUAUGCAAUUUACUUGUAUCUCUUGCAGCCAUCUGUCAAUAAAACACUAAAAAUGUUUUGCCAUGUGCGGCUCUUCAGUUUUCUUAAAAAUGGAAUAAUGGGUCAAGCACUCACUUUGAAAAUUUUGCUCAGUUUCAAAGUUUCUCCGUCCAGUACAUCACGUUGUUCUCUUUUUCCAAAAGUGUAGUACUUUAUAUCAUAAAUCGGGAAAAUUUGAGUGAAAAUCGUAGACUGAGCAAAGUUUAAAAUAUAUAUUUUGAUUUAAUCGAGGAUAACCAAUUUGUCGAAAGGUGCAUGGCAGGCUACCACCAUAAUCCUUGAAUUUCGCGAGCACCUUAUCAUUCUGAAAAUAUUGACGGUGCUUUCUUAAAUAUCCAUUUAGUGUCCGUACUUUUAUGAGUUUCAGACUUGUGGUAAAAACCAGCUACUUCACUUUGAGUCGUUUGUUUGAAUAUCCUCCAUCCGCUCAUGAUGACCGAAUGUGUGUUGACUCUCGCAUCGAUCAGAUUUUUUACAAGCUCCGGGGAAGAUUUCAAUAUGGGCUCCUCGAGAGAGCAGGGUAUCUUAUAAUCAAAGUAAAUGUACGCCAUUAAAUAAGCAGGUUUGGCAACACCACCCUGAAGCGGCAUCAAUUCCGGCAUGGCACGGGGCCCUAAAAUUAAAAAAUCGCCGACAUAAAUUUUGUCACUUUGUGAGAUUCCUAGCCUAAUGCCGCCACACCGCAGGGACCUGAUCAACUGGUACUCACGACUUGUAAUGGAGUGGGAAUGUCACUCGGCUUGUAAUUUACUCACAAUAAUUUGAUCACGACGCGACGCGACGUCAGGAAGAUAUUAUGCUAGUUAGCCCGAGAAAUAAGUUGGUCGCAAGGUCAUCGUACCUAGACUGCGAGCAAUACUAAUACCAUAGAUAUGACAAUCGGAAAACUAUCGGUAGGGAUGUAUCUAUAUUUCUUUUUUUCCAUUUCUUUUCACUGAAAACAAGUCUUUUGGGUAUAGAGUCCAGACUCUGAAAAAUUUGACAAGAAAAAGUACUUCUGAUCCAAUCGGAUUUUUGCUUGAAUCGAGAGGAGAGACUCUUAAUUAAAGUGGAUUUCCUUUUGAUUCGAGCAAAAAUCCGAUUAAAUCAAGAGUAUUUUUUCUUAUCAAAUUUGUAAAGAGUCUGGACUUUAGACCCAAGAGACUUUUUUCCUGUCUUCUCCUCGAAAGAGAAAGAUUACCGAAAAUAAAUAGAAAUAGGAAGGAUUGUUUAAGGGUGAAAGUAAUUCUUCUAUUAAGACCUUAUUUUACGGUAGGCUACAUAACGUUGAUUUUUUCAAAAUUUUGUGCUGUAGACGUUCAUUUGGUUUUCCUCAACAAUCUUGGAAUUUUUUAUAAACCGUCAUAAAGUGCCGGGCACACAAGUUUCUACUAUGAAUAUGAGAGCAUUGCAGAAAUGUAACGGAAAUGGAAGGAUUUAGGUGAAAAGAUAUAAUAUACGCAUUAUAAUUCGUACUUUUCACCGAUACGCUAACUUUUUAUCAAAAAUCGAUGAAAGUGUCCGGAAAAAGUGGUAUAGAAAUCAAUUAAAAAAAAAAAAUCUAGCGUAUGCUCAUCAGGACAAAACUUAAUACCCUCUAAUUCAUUGAAAAAAUAAGUGCAAAAACUUUCCAAGCUUCUUAUUCCAAAGUAAAGGUGGAUUUCCCUCCUUAUUUUACCCUUGUAGUUUCGUAUCGUGAGGAAAGCUUCGUUUCUUAUACCAGCCUCAGUGCAUGACGCUCUUUUUUCACGCCGGUGUUUACUUUCUUUUAUCUCGUAAACUUUGUAACUUUCCCGAUUACUUCAUUUCUGAACUCAAACCAUCCGCCUUUUGUGAUACUGAAAACUUCUGGAACAAACUCAAUUAAAAUUCUUCGUCACUUUAAUGCUGGUGCACUCAUUUUCUCGUUAAAGCUGUAUUUGAACAGCACUCACAAAGAAGUACAAGUAAUUGGGCAAUACUCCGAUCUGGUUUGGUUUGAUUUUGACGAUCAUCC